This 337-nucleotide unclassified non-coding RNA is filed under the name soil metagenome. Its description in RNAcentral is "partial contains 5.8S ribosomal RNA, internal transcribed spacer 2, and large subunit ribosomal RNA". The stretch from base 1 to 120 matches the Rfam family "5.8S ribosomal RNA", at positions 35 to 154 of the family's 154-position model. The record is from RNAcentral.
GAUGAAGAACGUAGCGAAAUGCGAUAAGUAGUGUGAAUUGCAGAAUUCAGUGAAUCAUCGAAUCUUUGAACGCACAUUGCGCCCCAUGGUAUUCCGUGGGGCAUGCCUGUUCGAGCGUCAUUUACCCCCUCAAGCUCCGCUUGGCGUUGGGCGUCUGUCCCGCUUCGCGCGCGGACUCGCCCCAAAGGUAUUGGCAGCGGUCGUGCCAGCUUCUCGCGCAGCACAUUGCGCUUCUCGAGGCACCGGUGGGCCCGCGUCCAUCAAGCUCACCCCCCCAGUUUGACCUCGGAUCAGGUAGGGAUACCCGCUGAACUUAAGCAUAUCAAUAAGCGGAGGA